GAAAAAGCACAAAAUAAAAGCAAAGUCGGGAUCAAAAACGACCUUUUUAUUAAUGAUGACAAUUUCUUAAAGUAAAAAGCCCUACACCAGUUCACUUUCAUCUCGGGCGGGACGAAAGGAUGUUUUUUGAAAAGGUAGUAAACAAACAAACAUAUCACUAGAAACAAAUCGAGUAGCAGGAGAAGACAUAAACAUCAACCCAAUUGCAGUUACACACUCGGAUUCAAUUUCUCGAAA
Molecule: long non-coding RNA, 237 nt
Filed under: Medicago truncatula (barrel medic)
Lineage: Eukaryota; Viridiplantae; Streptophyta; Magnoliopsida; Fabales; Fabaceae
Description: long non-coding RNA (MTRU_LNC006227)
Source: RNAcentral